CGGGAAAAGCUCAAAUUUAAAAUCUGGCUCUCGGGCCCGAGUUGUAAUUUGUAGAGGAUGCUUUUGGUGAGGUGCCUUCCGAGUUCCCUGGAACGGGACGCCAUAGAGGGUGAGAGCCCCGUCUGGUUGGACGCCGAACCUCAGUAAAGCUCCUUCGAC
RNAcentral lists this ribosomal RNA (159 nucleotides) under Fusarium sp. Its description in RNAcentral is "partial large subunit ribosomal RNA". It matches the Rfam family "Eukaryotic large subunit ribosomal RNA", at positions 99 to 261 of the family's 3401-position model. The record is from RNAcentral. Lineage: Eukaryota; Fungi; Ascomycota; Sordariomycetes; Hypocreales; Nectriaceae.